RNAcentral lists this ribosomal RNA (186 nucleotides) under uncultured bacterium. RNAcentral describes it as "partial 16S ribosomal RNA". It matches the Rfam family "Bacterial small subunit ribosomal RNA", at positions 1315 to 1500 of the family's 1533-position model. The record is from RNAcentral.
CCUAUAUGAAGUCGGAAUUGCUAGUAAUCGCGGAUCAGCAUGCCGCGGUGAAUACGUUCCCGGGCCUUGUACACACCGCCCGUCACACCAUGAGAGUCGAUAACACCCGAAGCCUGUAGUCUAACAGCAACGAGGACGCAGUCGAAGGUGGGAUUGAUAAUUAGGGUGAAGUCGUAACAAGGUAGC